GCGACCCCAGGUCAGGCGGGAUUGCCCGCUGAGUUUAA
This 38-nucleotide ribosomal RNA is filed under the name Synostemon hirtellus. RNAcentral's name for it is "partial 28S ribosomal RNA". The record is from RNAcentral. Lineage: Eukaryota; Viridiplantae; Streptophyta; Magnoliopsida; Malpighiales; Phyllanthaceae.